CACACCGCCCGUCACAUCACGAAAGCCAGCUGUACUAGAAGCCGGUGACUUAACCGCAAGGAAAUAGCCGUCCAAGGUAUGACUGGUGAUUGGGGUG
This 97-nucleotide ribosomal RNA is filed under the name uncultured bacterium. RNAcentral describes it as "partial 16S ribosomal RNA". It matches the Rfam family "Bacterial small subunit ribosomal RNA", at positions 1386 to 1482 of the family's 1533-position model. The record is from RNAcentral.